GUGCAGUUAGCUCAGUUGGUAAGAGCACCCUUCUAGUUUAUGGGUUAAGGUUGUGGGUUCAAAUCCCACAGUGCACA
RNAcentral lists this transfer RNA (77 nucleotides) under Cronartium ribicola 11-2. RNAcentral describes it as "tRNA-Thr (AGT) (tRNA-Thr-AGT-44-1, tRNA-Thr-AGT-47-1)". It matches the Rfam family "tRNA". From Rfam's summary of the family: Transfer RNA (tRNA) molecules are approximately 80 nucleotides in length. Their secondary structure includes four short double-helical elements and three loops (D, anti-codon, and T loops). Lineage: Eukaryota; Fungi; Basidiomycota; Pucciniomycetes; Pucciniales; Coleosporiaceae. The record is from RNAcentral.